RNAcentral lists this long non-coding RNA (968 nucleotides) under Apteryx owenii (little spotted kiwi). RNAcentral describes it as "lncRNA (ENSAOWG00000016458.1)". Lineage: Eukaryota; Metazoa; Chordata; Aves; Apterygiformes; Apterygidae. The record is from RNAcentral.
UGUGGGUGUUAACAGGGGACUCUGGAGGUGGGGGGUUUCCAGAGGUAGGGCAGAUAUCUGGGGGUUAGUGGGGUCUGUGAAGGUAGUGGGAAACCCUCAGGAUGGGUGGGUGCUCUAGGGCUUCAUGAGCGUCCUUGGGGACUUAGAGUGUGUCUCUGGGGGUUAGUGGAGGGCUCUGUGGGUGACAGAGGGUUCUGGGGUUAUCAGUUUUGGGGGCUAGCUGAGGGUUCUGGGCUUUGGGCAGGUUCUGGUUGCCAUGAGGAAGGAGCUACUUCACUUCAAGAUGGUUGAUGGAUGAAGGAAAGUUGUGUGCUUCCCCCAGCUCCUUUUCCUGCAUACGAGUGCCUUGUUACAGAGUUAUGUUGUUCAGCCUCUGCCACCUUGUUCCCAAAGUGUUGAAACUUCCAAGGACCUGUGCAAACAUAGGGAAGGCCUACUGUCAUCUGUUAGAGCAGUGUGAAGGAAGGCUGCAAAACUGAAGAGCAACCUGAGGCAUCUCACACUGGAAAACAUGAAUUGUCGGAUCUCAAAAGCUGCUGACUUCUCACGGUCUUGUUCUCUUCUACUUGUGGGUUAAUUGGAGUUUUCCAGAGGGUACUGAGCUCUCACUUUCAUGGUUGUAGACAAUUAGGAGUGCUGGGUGAGGGAGCAUUAGCAUGAAAUAAUCCUAGUGCAAGAUUUGUUUAGUUCCAUUGAUGACACAUUUUAAUUAUAUUGUAUGAAUGUUUACUUAAAAAUAGGCUGUAGCGUGCUGCAGUUAAAGAGUAAACUUGUUCUUGCAACUGCUUUCUCUGUAGGAAUGACAGAUUUUGCCUUUUUUUCCCCUUCACCAAAUGUAAUUAGUGUUUUCCGUUUAUUUUGAGCAUGUGAGAAUGCAGGCAAUUGACUUUAGGAGUAACCUGUAAAAAAAAAAAAAAAGAAGAAGAAGAAUACUAAUGUAGGAGCCUGAUGGAUUAUCUUUGCCUUAU